CCCUUAGAUGUUCUGGGCCGCACGCGCGCUACACUGACUGGUGCAACAAGUGUCGCUCCUUGGCCGAUAGGCCUGGGCAAUCUUUGAACGCCAGUCGUGAUGGGGAUAGAUUCUUGCAAUUUUUGAUCUUCAACGAGGAAUUCCUAGUAAACGCGAGUCAUCAACUCGCAUUGAUUACGUCCCUGCCCUUUGUACACACCGCCCGCCGCACCUACCGAUUGAAUGGUCCGGUGAACCCUCCGGAUCGGCCCGCGCCAACGCAAGUUGAGCAAAGGCCGAGAAGUUGGGUAAACCUUACCAUUUAGAGGAAGGUGAAGUCGUAACA
Molecule: ribosomal RNA, 325 nt
Filed under: uncultured eukaryote
Lineage: Eukaryota
Description: partial 18S ribosomal RNA
Rfam family: Eukaryotic small subunit ribosomal RNA
Source: RNAcentral